GAUCUGGUCGGUCUAACUAAAUACAAACUCUACCCAAACUCCUUCUCUGUACAAACCGAAGACCUUCAAGCAAAGCUAGGGUUUUGACUUGCGCUGGAGUGGAGGCCUUGACCGAUCUGGUUUGACCCGUGACGAAGCUCCCAGUGAAGUCCCUACAUAUGCACGCAAUGGCACUGUCAUUUGUUCCCUCCUUGAGAGCGUUGUCAACAUUAAUUUUCAGCUCGCUUUUCUCCGGCACAACCCAGGGACAGUAGGAGAAUGUGUUCCACCAUUUCCACUUCGCAUCGACAGAGAAAACAGAUAGGGUCCGAUAUGAUUUUCCUCUUCCACAGAUUCUCUCUUGCAGAGAUUGCAUUUUGGCAUGUGCUCCAUAAACAAAAUCUUCACUUUAGAGUGAGUUUUUAAGUUCCAUAUUGAUGUCCAUAAUGCUUUGGGUGGCUGAGAUGAGGAGGAGGGUUGCUCUGUUCAUUGGUACGAUAGUGGAUUAAAUUGUGCAAACAACAACAUUUCGAAAGACUUUUUUAUAUGGAUUUUGAUUCAGAAGGAAUAGUUUCUCA
Molecule: long non-coding RNA, 557 nt
Organism: Syzygium oleosum
Lineage: Eukaryota; Viridiplantae; Streptophyta; Magnoliopsida; Myrtales; Myrtaceae
Exons: 2
Source: RefSeq, a predicted model, not a curated record